CGGCUCAGUAACACGUGGAUAACCUACCCUCAGAUCUGGGAUAACUCCGGGAAACUGGAGAUAAUACCGGAUAAUCCGUGAACGCUGGAAUGCCUUACGGUUGAAAGCUUUAGCGUCUGAGGAUGGGUCUGCGGCCGAUUAGGUAGUUGCUGGGGUAACGUCCCAACAAGCCGAUAAUCGGUACGGGUUGUGAGAGCAAGAGCCCGGAGAUGGAUUCUGAGACACGAAUCCAGGUCCUACGGGGCGCAGCAGGCGCGAAAACUUUACACUGCGCGAAAGCGCGAUAAGGGGACCUCGAGUGCGUGCGCAAAGCGUACGCUUUUCAGAUGCCUAAAAAGCAUCUGGAAUAAGGGCCGGGCAAGACCGGUGCCAGCCGCCGCGGUAACACCGGCGGCUCAAGUGGUGGCCGCUAUUAUUGGGCUUAAAGGGUCCGUAGCCGGACCAGUUAGUCCCUUGGGAAAUCUUACGGCUUAACCGUAAGGCUGCCAAUGGAUACUGCUGGUCUUGGGACCGGGAGAGGCAAGAGGUACCUCAGGGGUAGGAGUGAAAUCCUGUAAUCCU
This 561-nucleotide ribosomal RNA is filed under the name uncultured euryarchaeote. RNAcentral describes it as "bacterial SSU rRNA". It matches the Rfam family "Archaeal small subunit ribosomal RNA", at positions 83 to 649 of the family's 1478-position model. Lineage: Archaea; Methanobacteriati; Methanobacteriota. The record is from RNAcentral.